Molecule: ribosomal RNA, 406 nt
Filed under: uncultured bacterium
Lineage: Bacteria
Description: partial 16S ribosomal RNA
Rfam family: Bacterial small subunit ribosomal RNA
Source: RNAcentral
AUUGAACGCUGGCGGCGGGCUUACCACAUGCAAGUCGAGCGAGCGGAGGACGGGUGAGUAAUGUCUGGGAAACUGCCUGAUGGAGGGGGAUAAGUACUGGAAACGGUAGCUACUAACGCAUACCAGCAGCUGUGCACAGAUGGGAUUAGCUAGUAGGGGGGGUAAUGGCUCACCUAGGCGAAGAUCCCUAGCUGGUCUGAGAGGAUGACAAGCCACACGGGAACUGAGACACGGGCCAGACUCCUACGGGAGGCAGCAGUGGGGAAUAUUGCACAAUGGGCGCAAGCCUGAUGCAGCCAUGCCGCGUGUGUGAAGAAGGCCUUCGGGUUGUAAAGCACUUUCAGCGAGGAGGCGUUACUCGCAGAAGAAGCACCGGCUAACUCCGUGCCAGCAGCCGCGGUAAUUC